Molecule: ribosomal RNA, 329 nt
Filed under: uncultured eukaryote
Lineage: Eukaryota
Description: partial 18S ribosomal RNA
Rfam family: Eukaryotic small subunit ribosomal RNA
Source: RNAcentral
CCCUUAGAUGUCCGGGGCUGCACGCGCGCUACACUGAAGGAAUCAGCGUGCUAAAACCAUUGUCGAAAGGCAUUGGUAAACCCAUUAAAAUCCUACGUGAUUGGGAUCGGGAAUUGCAAUUAUUUCCCUUGAACGAGGAAUUCCCAGUAAGUGUGGGUCAUAAGCUCGCGUUGAUUACGUCCCUGCCCUUUGUACACACCGCCCGUCGCUGCCCGGGACUGAGCCGUUUCGAGAAAAGCGGGGACUGCUGCUGUCGGGGCUUUCGGGCCUUGGCUUCGGUGGAAACCGCUUUAAUCGCAGUGGCUUGAACCGGGCAAAAGUCGUAACAA